Molecule: ribosomal RNA, 315 nt
Filed under: Triticum aestivum (bread wheat)
Lineage: Eukaryota; Viridiplantae; Streptophyta; Magnoliopsida; Poales; Poaceae
Description: partial small subunit ribosomal RNA
Source: RNAcentral
AUGAAACUGCUCCAUUGUUCGGAGUGUCUUUAUCUUGCAUUGCCAUCCUAUACCUCUUCUUAUGCAUCCUUGUUGUAUUCCUCUGUUUAUAUCUUCCGCUUCGUUCUAGCUGCAGCUUGUAAUGUACUAAAAGGAAAACGUAUCGCACUUGUGUUGGUGCUAUUUCUUAUGCUGCUAUGGUGUCAAGUUCAUUUGGUUGCUGUCACUGUUCAUGGACUACAUACAGUCCACCUGCAGUUUGAAAUUCAUGCAAAUCCAGAAUGCUGGUUUAUCUUUUGGUAUUUCUGGUUUAACAAGUGCCAGCACACAGGCUAG